Molecule: ribosomal RNA, 493 nt
Filed under: uncultured bacterium
Lineage: Bacteria
Description: partial 16S ribosomal RNA
Rfam family: Bacterial small subunit ribosomal RNA
Source: RNAcentral
GACGAACGCUGGCGGCGCGCUUAACACAUGCAGGUCGAACGGAAAGGCCUGCUUUCCCUUGUGGAUUGCGGGUACUCGAGUGGCGAACGGGUGAGUAACACGUGAGUGAUCUGCCCCCAACUUGGGUAUAAGCCUGGGAAACUGGGUCUAAUUCCCGAUAGGACUGCAGGGUGGUGCCUGUGGUGGAAAACGAUUUUCUAGUGGUUGGGGAUGAGCUCGCGGCCUAUCAGCUUGUUGGUGGGGUAAUGGCCUACCAAGGCGGCGACGGGUAGCCGGCCUGAGAGGGUGGACGGCCACAUUGGGACUGAGAUACGGCCCAGACUCCUACGGGAGGCAGCAGUGGGGAAUAUUGCACAAUGGGCGGAAGCCUGAUGCAGCGACGCCGCGUGGGGGAUGACGGCCUUCGGGUUGUAAACUCCUUUCGACCGCGAGGAAGCCACCUGGUUGGAAGGGUGGUGACGGUAGUGGUAGAAGAAGCACCGGCUAACUACGU